AGAGUUUGAUCCUGGCUCAGAACGAACGCUGGCGGCAGGCCUAACACAUGCAAGUCGAGCGCGCCUUCGGGUGAGCGGCGGACGGGUUAGUAACGCGUGGGAACGUGCCCUUCUCUACGGAAUAGCCUCUGGAAACGGAGAGUAAUACCGUAUACGCCCUUUGGGGGAAAGAUUUAUCGGAGAAGGAUCGGCCCGCGUUAGAUUAGGUAGUUGGUGGGGUAACGGCCUACCAAGCCUACGAUCUAUAGCUGGUUUUAGAGGAUGAUCAGCAACACUGGGACUGAGACACGGCCCAGACUCCUACGGGAGGCAGCAGUGGGGAAUCUUAGACAAUGGGGGCAACCCUGAUCUAGCCAUGCCGCGUGAGUGAUGAAGGCCUUAGGGUCGUAAAGCUCUUUCGCCUGUGAUGAUAAUGACAGUAGCAGGUAAAGAAACCCCGGCUAACUCCGUGCCAGCAGCCGCGGUAAUACGGAGGGGGUUAGCGUUGUUCGGAAUUACUGGGCGUAAAGCGCGCGUAGGCGGAUUAGAAAGUUGGGGGUGAAAUCCCGGGGCUCAACCCCGGAACUGCCUCCAAAACUGCUAGUCUAGAGUUCGAGAGAGGUGAGUGGAAUUCCGAGUGUAGAGGCGAAAUUCGUAGAUAUUCGGAGGAACACCAGUGGCGAAGGCGGCUCACUGGCUCGAUACUGACGCUGAGGUGCGAAAGUGUGGGGAGCAAACAGGAUUAGAUACCCUGGUAGUCCACACCGUAAACGAUGAAUGCCAGUCGUCGGAUAGUAUACUAUUCGGUGACACACCUAACGGAUUAAGCAUUCCGCCUGGGGAGUACGGUCGCAAGAUUAAAACUCAAAGGAAUUGACGG
Molecule: ribosomal RNA, 859 nt
Filed under: uncultured marine bacterium
Lineage: Bacteria
Description: bacterial SSU rRNA
Rfam family: Bacterial small subunit ribosomal RNA
Source: RNAcentral